RNAcentral lists this long non-coding RNA (360 nucleotides) under Nicotiana benthamiana. RNAcentral's name for it is "long non-coding RNA (NBEN_LNC023152)". The record is from RNAcentral. Lineage: Eukaryota; Viridiplantae; Streptophyta; Magnoliopsida; Solanales; Solanaceae.
UGCAAUGUCUUAAUCAAAUGCCUAGUGGCAUGAUCAAAGCCGAUGAUCGUAAGCUAUGUCCUCCAUCACGAUCUCGAAUGAAACUAUCCAUGGAAUCGUGCGCCGUGUGAAACGUAUAUCAUCGCCGUUCUUAACCGAGACUCAGGUUAAGCUCCGUCUCGGAACCUUGUGGGGUUAGGAGUAAAGCAUCCCGAGGUUGGCGCAUCUCGUUGAGCGUGGAGAAGCAUUGGGAACCCCAAUUUUUUUCUUCGGAGCCGUUUCUUUUUCCGUCCGCCAAGACUCAGGUUAAGCUCCGUCUCGAAACCUUGUGGGGUUAGGAGUAAAGCAUCCCGAGGUUGGCGCAUCUCGUUGAGUGUGGAG